GAUGAACGCUGGCGGCGUGCCUAAUACAUGCAAGUCGAGCGAACGGACGAGAAGCUUGCUUCUCUGAUGUUAGCGGCGGACGGGUGAGUAACACGUGGAUAACCUACCUAUAAGACUGGGAUAACUUCGGGAAACCGUAGCUAAUACCGGAUAAUAUUUUGAACCGCAUGGUUCAAAAGUGAAAGACGGUCUUGCUGUCACUUAUAGAUGGAUCCGCGCUGCAUUAGCUAGUUGGUAAGGUAACGGCUUACCAAGGCAACGAUGCAUAGCCGACCUGAGAGGGUGAUCGGCCACACUGGAACUGAGACACGGUCCAGACUCCUACGGGAGGCAGCAGUAGGGAAUCUUCCGCAAUGGGCGAAAGCCUGACGGAGCAACGCCGCGUCAGUGAUGAAGGUCUUCGGAUCGUAAAACUCUGUUAUUAGGGAAGAACAUAUGUGUAAGUAACUGUGCACAUCUUGACGGUACCUAAUCAGAAAGCCACGGCUAACUACGUG
RNAcentral lists this ribosomal RNA (497 nucleotides) under uncultured bacterium. RNAcentral describes it as "partial 16S ribosomal RNA". It matches the Rfam family "Bacterial small subunit ribosomal RNA", at positions 28 to 507 of the family's 1533-position model. The record is from RNAcentral.